GCGGAUAUGGUGAAGUGGUUAACACACCCGGCUGUGAACCGGUCAUGCGGGGGUUCGAGUCCCCUUAUCCGCCCCA
This 76-nucleotide transfer RNA is filed under the name Bacillota bacterium. RNAcentral describes it as "tRNA-His". It matches the Rfam family "tRNA". From Rfam's summary of the family: Transfer RNA (tRNA) molecules are approximately 80 nucleotides in length. Their secondary structure includes four short double-helical elements and three loops (D, anti-codon, and T loops). Lineage: Bacteria; Bacillati; Bacillota. The record is from RNAcentral.